CCUACGGGCGGCAGCAGUGGGGAAUAUUGCGCAAUGGGCGAAAGCCUGACGCGGCGACGCCGCGUGAGGGAUGAAGGUCUUCGGAUCGUAAACCUCUGUCAGCAGGGAAGAACGGUCACUGUGCUAAUCAGCAGUGAAUUGACGGUACCUGCAAAGGAAGCACCGGCUAACUCCGUGCCAGCAGCAGCGGUAAUACGGAGGGUGCGAGCGUUAAUCGGAAUUACUGGGCGUAAAGCGCUCGUAGGCGGUAUGUCAAGUCAAGGGGGAAAUCCCCGCGCUCAACGUGGGAACUGCCUUUGAAACUGGCAAACUGGAGUGUGUGAGAGGAUAGUGGAAUGCCAGGUGUAGGAGUGAAAUCCGUAGAUAUCUGGAGGAACAUCAGUGGCGAAGGCGACUAUCUGGCACAUAACUGACGCUGAGGAGCGAAAGCGUGGGUAGCAAACAGGAUUAGAUACCCCUGUAGUC
Molecule: ribosomal RNA, 465 nt
Filed under: uncultured bacterium
Lineage: Bacteria
Description: partial 16S ribosomal RNA
Rfam family: Bacterial small subunit ribosomal RNA
Source: RNAcentral